UGCGGCGCCAGUGAUCCACGCCCGGCCUGAAGGUGGGCUACCAGGGCCGAGAGGGAAAGGGGACGCCGCGGCGGGGCUGCGGUGCGGAGCGCCGAGCUUUUAGGAUGCAUCAGUAAACAAAAAUCCCUCACUUGCGGAGUUGAUAUUCUUGCAAGGAGAAGACAGGAUAAACAAUAAACACAAACAGCAUUAUUCCUAAUAGCCAAGACGUGGAAGUAACCCAAGUGCCCAACGACUGAUGAACAGAUAAAGAAGAUGUGGUAUAUAUACACAAUGGAAUACUACUCAGCCAUAAAAAAGACAAAAUCGUCCCAUUUGCAACAACACGGGUGGACCUUGAGAGUAUUAUGUUAAGCAAAAUAAGCCAGACAGAGAAAGAGAAACACCAUGUGAUUUCACUCAUAUAUGGAAGAUAAAUAAAUACACGGAC
RNAcentral lists this long non-coding RNA (430 nucleotides) under Equus asinus (donkey). RNAcentral describes it as "lncRNA (ENSEASG00005032609.1)". Lineage: Eukaryota; Metazoa; Chordata; Mammalia; Perissodactyla; Equidae. The record is from RNAcentral.